CUUAGUACGAGAGGACCGGGAUGGACGCACCGCUGGUGUACCAGUUGUUCUGCCAAGGGCAUCGCUGGGUAGCUAUGUGCGGACGGGAUAAGUGCUGAAAGCAUCUAAGCAUGAAGCCCCCCUCAAGAUGAGAUUUCCCAUUCCGCAAGGAAGUAAGAUCCCUGAAAGAUGAUCAGGUUGAUAGGUCUGAGGUGGAAGUGUGGCGACACAUGGAGCUGACAGAUACUAAUCGAUCGAGGACUUAACCAYAUUU
RNAcentral lists this ribosomal RNA (253 nucleotides) under Bacillus subtilis. RNAcentral's name for it is "partial 23S ribosomal RNA". It matches the Rfam family "Bacterial large subunit ribosomal RNA", at positions 2677 to 2925 of the family's 2925-position model. Lineage: Bacteria; Bacillati; Bacillota; Bacilli; Caryophanales; Bacillaceae. The record is from RNAcentral.